Molecule: ribosomal RNA, 465 nt
Filed under: uncultured Klebsiella sp.
Lineage: Bacteria; Pseudomonadati; Pseudomonadota; Gammaproteobacteria; Enterobacterales; Enterobacteriaceae
Description: bacterial SSU rRNA
Rfam family: Bacterial small subunit ribosomal RNA
Source: RNAcentral
CCUACGGGGGGCAGCAGUGGGGAAUAUUGCACAAUGGGCGCAAGCCUGAUGCAGCCAUGCCGCGUGUGUGAAGAAGGCCUUCGGGUUGUAAAGCACUUUCAGCGGGGAGGAAGGCGGUGAGGUUAAUAACCUCAUCGAUUGACGUUACCCGCAGAAGAAGCACCGGCUAACUCCGUGCCAGCAGCCGCGGUAAUACGGAGGGUGCAAGCGUUAAUCGGAAUUACUGGGCGUAAAGCGCACGCAGGCGGUCUGUCAAGUCGGAUAUGAAAUCCCCGGGCUCAACCUGGGAACUGCAUUCGAAACUGGCAGGCUAGAGUCUUGUAGAGGGGGGUAGAAUUCCAGGUGUAGCGGUGAAAUGCGUAGAGAUCUGGAGGAAUACCGGUGGCGAAGGCGGCCCCCUGGACAAAGACUGACGCUCAGGUGCGAAAGCGUGGGGAGCAAACAGGAUUAGAUACCCGUGUAGUC